RNAcentral lists this ribosomal RNA (557 nucleotides) under uncultured bacterium. RNAcentral's name for it is "bacterial SSU rRNA". It matches the Rfam family "Bacterial small subunit ribosomal RNA", at positions 362 to 909 of the family's 1533-position model. The record is from RNAcentral.
UCUUCCGCAAUGGACGAAAGUCUGACGGAGCAACGCCGCGUGAGUGAUGAAGGCUUUCGGGUCGUAAAACUCUGUUGUUAGGGAAGAACAAGUGCUAGUUGAAUAAGCUGGCACCUUGACGGUACCUAACCAGAAAGCCACGGCUAACUACGUGCCAGCAGCCGCGGUAAUACGUAGGUGGCAAGCGUUAUCCGGAAUUAUUGGGCGUAAAGCGCGCGCAGGUGGUUUCUUAAGUCUGAUGUGAAAGCCCACGGCUCAACCGUGGAGGGUCAUUGGAAACUGGGAGACUUGAGUGCGGAAGAGGAAAGUGGAAUUCCAUGUGUAGCGGUGAAAUGCGUAGAGAUAUGGAGGAACACCAGUGGCGAAGGCAGCCACCUGGACCGACACUGACGCUCAUGUACGAAAGCGUGGGUAGCAAACAGGAUUAGAUACCCUGGUAGUCCACGCCGUAAACGAUGAGUGCUAAGUGUUAGGGGGUUUCCGCCCCUUAGUGCUGCAGCUAACGCAUUAAGCACUCCGCCUGGGGAGUACGGUCGCAAGACUGAAACUCAAAGGAA